UACGUAGGGUGCAAGCGUUAAUCGGAAUUACUGGGCGUAAAGCGUGCGCAGACGGUUGCGUAAGUCAGAUGUGAAAGCCCCGGGCUCAACCUGGGAAUUGCAUUUGAGACUGCGUAGCUAGGGUGCGGAAGAGGGAAGCGGAAUUUCCGGGUGUAGCGGUGAAAUGCGUAGAUAUCGGAAGGAACACCAGUGGCGAAAGCGGCUUCCUGGUCCAGCACCGACGUUCAGGCACGAAAGCGUGGGAGCAAACAGG
RNAcentral lists this ribosomal RNA (253 nucleotides) under uncultured bacterium. RNAcentral describes it as "partial 16S ribosomal RNA". It matches the Rfam family "Bacterial small subunit ribosomal RNA", at positions 524 to 776 of the family's 1533-position model. The record is from RNAcentral.